Hippocampus comes (tiger tail seahorse) is the source of this 1922-nucleotide long non-coding RNA. RefSeq lists it as uncharacterized. The transcript is spliced from 6 exons. Lineage: Eukaryota; Metazoa; Chordata; Actinopteri; Syngnathiformes; Syngnathidae. The record is from RefSeq and is a predicted model, not a curated record.
UGGCGGGCAGAAAGAACCGCAUCGGCGCUUACAGUCUGCGGAAUUCCAGUACUCGCUCGAAUGAAAGUACACGUAAUUACCUGGAAACGCUCAACUGUCCCUCAUCACUCAGUGCCGAUGAUUUGACGGCAACUGCGGUGUGGGUCACGGUGGCUCAACACAGGCGGUGCGUGGUCCAUGGUGUGCAGCUGCAUCAUUGCUCCGUUCUUGCAUGAAAAAAACCCCCAAAACCCUCCAGUGUGCCGACUCUGCGUACAAGCACAUCCGGGAUCGAAUGUGAAUGCGUCGAGGACUUCAAAGCCAUCCAGGUCAUCCAAAGCCACGAGCAAAAAGCAAGCCCCCCCCCCCCUCAGUGCAACAGGCAGCUCUUGAUCCUUCCAGAUGAAACACGAACUGAGGUGGCCAGCAAUCGUGGGAUGAGACAAGUGUUUGAUGACUACGCACAAUGCCAGUAGGCAGGCAGCUCGGCGAAGCUCCCUGUGUGAUUGAUGCUGAAGAAGCAGUGUGAUGAACUUCAAACUGAUGCAGAGAAAGGUCCAGAUCAACCGUUGGCACUGGAGGUUACCAUGGUGAUCAUCUUGUAGCAGCUAGCGGCUCAGCAAACGCUACAGUCACAUGACAAGACGAAGGGGGAAACCGCGCUUUCGACUUCUCGUACCAGCGAUGACUGAUAGCGGAACCCGGUCGCCCGAUCCGGACCCAGACGCGGCGGUCCCGGAACCUCUUUGACUGAUAACCGAUGCAGAGUCCCUCAGACAAGCGGCCUUCCCCAUCGGUCGGAAAGGUGCGUACAAGUCUCCUCCGUUCUCACUCAUUCCUUUCAAGCACUUCCAGUCAACCUCACCUACGUUGGGAAAAGAAAGAGGUGAGUGGUUAUGGUUUGAUUUCCUGAUGACGUCUAGCGGAAUUACAGCCAAGCCCCAUUCGUUGAAACGCACUGUUCCCAAAAACAUUUUGCAUAAUUUUACCGCUUCCAUAUUGUCUUCAACAUAUUUGAGCGCCCUUGUCAUUGUAUUUCUAAACACCUGUCAAGCCCUUAUACCACAACGCUCGCGCUUUUCGGCGAUUGCAUUUUGCAGUGUGUGUGUGUGUGUGUGUGUGUUAACGGUAAGUGAGCUGAAUUUCACGUAUUUGAAAUGUGACCGUCUCUUUGUUUGAUGUUUACUUUGACACUAAACCAACGACGAGUGGCAAUAAACAGGUACGUUGAAAAAUAUAUAACGGAGGCGGAACAUUGUACGCAGAUAUAGUAAGGUACCAAUUGAGGAUUUAACGACCGAUGUUUGCAAAUUUUUUUUUAGCCUUGACAAAGGUCUUGCAGUGCUUCUUCGCUCGCCCUUUCUUUUUCUUCUCUUUCGACAAAAGAAACAGCUUUUCGGCGGCACGUCUGUGGCGAUAGGAGUGGGUGUGGAGUGGGAGGGGGGGGAGAAUGCCUUCUGCGGUUCUGCACUGAUGGCGUUUUGUGUUUAAGUGGGAGAAGGGCCCGAAUGUUUCUGCCACAUGGCCGCUGAUGCUGAACGGCGCUGGCAGGUGGAUUAUACCUCGUGCCGCUGUGUCCCCGGACAAAUUUAAAGGUAGCCCGGAAACUCGGCACCGGGGGAGAAUGUCGGCACACGGGGGAGGGUCGGCCCAUCUUCUCCUUUUUGUGUGUGUGUGUGCGCGUGUGUGUGUGUGUUCCAUCUUUCUUUUCCGCUCUCCUGAACUUGUAUUGCACAAAAAUCCCAUAGAACCGCUGGUCAGAGCCAUUCCCUUCCUGUUGUGAUCAUCCUCUGACAACUAAUUAACUGACAGCGUCGGUCCCCCUCGGGGACGGGCCAUAAAUGCGACGGUACGACAAGAAACGAUUUGUACAAAAUGAUGAUUACGUUCGGCAAUGUAAAAAAGGAGUCCCGCUCUCGUGCGAGUCCCUAACCCGAAACUAG